RNAcentral lists this ribosomal RNA (408 nucleotides) under Cryptosporidium parvum. RNAcentral describes it as "SSU rRNA". It matches the Rfam family "Eukaryotic small subunit ribosomal RNA", at positions 673 to 1090 of the family's 1831-position model. Lineage: Eukaryota; Apicomplexa; Conoidasida; Eucoccidiorida; Cryptosporidiidae. The record is from RNAcentral.
AUUUAUAUAAAAUAUUUUGAUGAAUAUUUAUAUAAUAUUAACAUAAUUCAUAUUACUAUAUAUUUUAGUAUAUGAAAUUUUACUUUGAGAAAAUUAGAGUGCUUAAAGCAGGCAUAUGCCUUGAAUACUCCAGCAUGGAAUAAUAUUAAAGAUUUUUAUCUUUCUUAUUGGUUCUAAGAUAAGAAUAAUGAUUAAUAGGGACAGUUGGGGGCAUUUGUAUUUAACAGUCAGAGGUGAAAUUCUUAGAUUUGUUAAAGACAAACUAAUGCGAAAGCAUUUGCCAAGGAUGUUUUCAUUAAUCAAGAACGAAAGUUAGGGGAUCGAAGACGAUCAGAUACCGUCGUAGUCUUAACCAUAAACUAUGCCAACUAGAGAUUGGAGGUUGUUCCUUACUCCUUCAGCACCUUA